This 53-nucleotide ribosomal RNA is filed under the name Olea europaea subsp. europaea. Its description in RNAcentral is "LSU_rRNA_bacteria". Lineage: Eukaryota; Viridiplantae; Streptophyta; Magnoliopsida; Lamiales; Oleaceae. The record is from RNAcentral.
UGUUUAUAAAAAACAUAGGUCUUAGCAAAGUCAUAAGACUAUGUACGAGGGCU